GCACAAUUUGACUAAAAAACAUGAAAAACAUGUCCUCCACAUGCCCUUAGACGUAGGAGGCCCUGCGUUUGAGAUCCCAUUCACCGCCUUUUGGCACAAGUGCCUAUCAUGUAGCAAGAGGUGCGGCAAGUCAAGUUUGUGCAUCCUCAUCCUACUUCGCAUGAAUUGGUCAACAUCAUGUUAUUUGGUCAUCUAUUUGGAAUGCCAGGGUGCCAGGAAAGGUGCGCCACUUUUGGUGGAGAGUUUGCUCAAAUAUCCUCCGUACAAAAGACAAUUUUCUUAAGAAACAUGUGCAGGUGGACAACGACUGUUUUUUCUCCAACUCCUACUCGGAAUCAUCGCUCCAUGUGCUUAGAUAUUGUCCGUUUGCAAAGAGUGUGUGGUUGCAGCCACCGAACAGCUAGCACGAAGGAAUGGGUUCAUGCAUGCUCGGAAUCUCUCGCAAGUUCGCAACCCAUGUUUUUGAAAUCUUUCUUAUGACAUGUUGGGCUACAUGGGAAGCUCGAAAUGGAUGGUUGUGGAAUGAUCAACGUAUACAACCUCAGGAAGUUAGUGCAUAGAUGGACCAAACCUAAUAUUGGCUGUCUAAAGAUGAAUGUUGACGGCGCCUGGCAGCCGGGGAGUAGUGAGGGCGGCAUAGGCAUUGUUGUUUGCAAUGAAGAUGGCGCCGGAAGGAGUGUUAUUGGCGGAGCAAAGGGGUUUGCGUAAUAUUUCUUUUGAGAGUGAUCUCUCUAGAUUGUUUCAGCUAUUCAAAGUACAUUCAUUGACAGAUCUUUACUUGGGCCUGUUGUGGAGGAUACCAAGAACUUGUUGGUGCAGAUCAUUUGGAGAUGGUUUUACCCACAUCCGUCGCACUGCCAACUCUGUUGCUCGCCGUAUAGCGCGCUUUGCUUUUCAUAUUGGGACCUCGCUAACUUGAUUUGAGGAGACCCCAGAUUUUAUUUCAGAUACAUUGUUUGAGGAUUGUAACUUGUAGUUUUUACUGGUACGUUUCUAGGGGACGGGGGGUCGCUCUUCGGAGGCAAGGUUCCUUCUCCUGUGUGAGGUUUAGAGGGUAGGCUAUGUAGUAGCCGAUGA
RNAcentral lists this long non-coding RNA (1077 nucleotides) under Prunus dulcis (almond). RNAcentral describes it as "sRNA ncRNA". The record is from RNAcentral. Lineage: Eukaryota; Viridiplantae; Streptophyta; Magnoliopsida; Rosales; Rosaceae.